Molecule: ribosomal RNA, 491 nt
Filed under: uncultured bacterium
Lineage: Bacteria
Description: partial 16S ribosomal RNA
Rfam family: Bacterial small subunit ribosomal RNA
Source: RNAcentral
GAUGAACGCUGGCUACAGGCUUAACACAUGCAAGUCGAGGGGAAACGACGGGGAAGCUUGCUUCCCCGGGCGUCGACCGGCGCACGGGUGAGUAACGCGUAUCCAACCUGCCUCUGACUGAGGGAUAACCCGUCGAAAGUCGGCCUAAUACCUCAUGGCAUCGUCUGCGGGCAUCCAACGACGAUUAAAGAUUUCAUCGGUCAGGGAUGGGGAUGCGUCUGAUUAGCUUGUUGGCGGGGUAACGGCCCACCAAGGCUACGAUCAGUAGGGGUUCUGAGAGGAAGGUCCCCGACAUUGGAACUGAGACACGGUCCAAACUCCUACGGGAGGCAGCAGUGAGGAAUAUUGGUCAAUGGGCGGGAGCCUGAACCAGCCAAGUAGCGUGCAGGAUGACGGCCCUAUGGGUUGUAAACUGCUUUUAUGCGGGGAUAAAGUGAGGGACGUGUCCUUCAUUGCAGGUACCGCAUGAAUAAGGACCGGCUAAUUCCGUG